This 1066-nucleotide ribosomal RNA is filed under the name Didymosphaeria futilis. RNAcentral describes it as "SSU rRNA". It matches the Rfam family "Eukaryotic small subunit ribosomal RNA", at positions 48 to 1124 of the family's 1831-position model. Lineage: Eukaryota; Fungi; Ascomycota; Dothideomycetes; Pleosporales; Didymosphaeriaceae. The record is from RNAcentral.
GCCAUGCAUGUCUAAGUAUAAGCAAUUAUACCGUGAAACUGCGAAUGGCUCAUUAAAUCAGUUAUCGUUUAUUUGAUAGUACCUUACUACUUGGAUAACCGUGGUAAUUCUAGAGCUAAUACAUGCUGAAAACCCCAACUUCGGGAGGGGUGUAUUUAUUAGAUAAAAAACCAACGCCCUUCGGGGCUUCUGGUGAUUCAUGAUAACUUUACGGAUCGCAUGGCCUUGCGCCGGCGACGGUUCAUUCAAAUUUCUGCCCUAUCAACUUUCGAUGGUAAGGUAUUGGCUUACCAUGGUUUCAACGGGUAACGGGGAAUUAGGGUUCGAUUCCGGAGAGGGAGCCUGAGAAACGGCUACCACAUCCAAGGAAGGCAGCAGGCGCGCAAAUUACCCAAUCCCGACACGGGGAGGUAGUGACAAUAAAUACUGAUACAGGGCUCUUUUGGGUCUUGUAAUUGGAAUGAGUACAAUUUAAACCUCUUAACGAGGAACAAUUGGAGGGCAAGUCUGGUGCCAGCAGCCGCGGUAAUUCCAGCUCCAAUAGCGUAUAUUAAAGUUGUUGCAGUUAAAAAGCUCGUAGUUGAAACUUGGGUCUGGCUGGCAGGUCCGCCUCACCGCGUGUACUUGUCCGGCCGGGCCUUCCUUCUGGAGAACCUCAUGCCCUUCACUGGGCGUGUUGGGGACCAGGACUUUUACUUUGAAAAAAUUAGAGUGUUCAAAGCAGGCCUUUGCUCGAAUACGUUAGCAUGGAAUAAUAGAAUAGGACGUGCGGUUCUAUUUUGUUGGUUUCUAGGACCGCCGUAAUGAUUAAUAGGGACAGUCGGGGGCAUCAGUAUUCAAUUGUCAGAGGUGAAAUUCUUGGAUUUAUUGAAGACUAACUACUGCGAAAGCAUUUGCCAAGGAUGUUUUCAUUAAUCAGUGAACGAAAGUUAGGGGAUCGAAGACGAUCAGAUACCGUCGUAGUCUUAACCGUAAACUAUGCCGACUAGGGAUCGGGCGAUGUUUCUUUUUUUUGACUCGCUCGGCACCUCACGAGAAAUCAAAGUUUUUGGGUUCUGGGGGGAGU